AUUGAACACUGGCGGCAGGCCUAACACAUGCAAGUCGAGCGGAUGAAGGGAGCUUGCUCCUGGAUUCAGCGGCGGACGGGUGAGUAAUGCCUAGGAAUCUGCCUGGUAGUGGGGGAUAACGUCCGGAAACGGGCGCUAAUACCGCAUACGUCCUGAGGGAGAAAGUGGGGGAUCUUCGGACCCCACGCUAUCAGAUGAGCCUAGGUCGGAUUAGCUAGUUGGUGGGGUAAAGGCCUACCAAGGCGACGAUCCGUAACUGGUCUGAGAGGAUGAUCAGUCACACUGGAACUGAGACACGGUCCAGACUCCUACGGGAGGCAGCAGUGGGGAAUAUUGGACAAAGGGCGAAAGCCUGAUCCAGCCAUGCCGCGUGUGUGAAGAAGGUCUUCGGAUUGUAAAGCACUUUGAGUUGGGAGGAAGGGCAGUAAGUUAAUACCUUGCUGUUUUGACGUUACCAACAGAAUAAGCACCGGCUAACUUCGUG
RNAcentral lists this ribosomal RNA (484 nucleotides) under uncultured bacterium. Its description in RNAcentral is "partial 16S ribosomal RNA". It matches the Rfam family "Bacterial small subunit ribosomal RNA", at positions 30 to 507 of the family's 1533-position model. The record is from RNAcentral.